This 485-nucleotide long non-coding RNA is filed under the name Panax ginseng (ginseng). RNAcentral describes it as "long non-coding RNA (PGIN_LNC007013)". Lineage: Eukaryota; Viridiplantae; Streptophyta; Magnoliopsida; Apiales; Araliaceae. The record is from RNAcentral.
UGCCAUCAGUCAAUCAUUUCAAUCAACACACUGUCCAAACUUGAUAUUAAACAAAGGUCAUAAAUAUUAAACAAAGUUCUUAAAAAUUAAACUUGGAUAUCUCAUGUCCCUACUGACUUCCAACUUAAUCUCUCAUGUUCUCCAUUGUGCUUGAAGUUGGUGGAUUGUUGCUUGAUGUAAGUAGGGUUCUAUACAUUCUUGUAGCAGGAGGUGUGUUAUUUCUGCUUGAUCCAUCUUGAUAUAUGACUUCUCCUGGAGUUGGCAUCUGCAUUUGACAUAACCAAGCACAAGUAUGGUUACAUAUGAAAAAUGACAAAUAAAAGUAACAUAAAUACUUGCAAUUUAAAAAAAGUUGUAACUCACAAAAACUAAUCCAGAGUUUUGUCCAUUCAUAUUAUCUAUUACAGCUCCCUCAGGACUAACAUAAACACCAAAUCCUGCUGGUACUUUAGCGCGGGUCUUUAUCCUCUUAACUUGCAACUUUG